RNAcentral lists this ribosomal RNA (919 nucleotides) under uncultured bacterium. RNAcentral's name for it is "bacterial SSU rRNA". It matches the Rfam family "Bacterial small subunit ribosomal RNA", at positions 56 to 935 of the family's 1533-position model. The record is from RNAcentral.
UGCAGUCGAGCGAGUCUGCCUUGAAGAUCGGAGUGCUUGCACUCUGUGAAACAAGAUACAGGCUAGCGGCGGACGGGUGAGUAACACGUGGGUAACCUGCCCAAGAGAUCGGGAUAACACCUGGAAACAGAUGCUAAUACCGGAUAACAACAGAUGAUGCCUAUCAACUGUUUAAAAGAUGGUUCUGCUAUCACUCUUGGAUGGACCUGCGGUGCAUUAGCUAGUUGGUAGGGUAACGGCCUACCAAGGCGAUGAUGCAUAGCCGAGUUGAGAGACUGAUCGGCCACAUUGGGACUGAGACACGGCCCAAACUCCUACGGGAGGCAGCAGUAGGGAAUCUUCCACAAUGGACGCAAGUCUGAUGGAGCAACGCCGCGUGAGUGAAGAAGGGUUUCGGCUCGUAAAGCUCUGUUGUUGGUGAAGAAGGACAGGGGUAGUAACUGACCUUUGUUUGACGGUAAUCAAUUAGAAAGUCACGGCUAACUACGUGCCAGCAGCCGCGGUAAUACGUAGGUGGCAAGCGUUGUCCGGAUUUAUUGGGCGUAAAGCGAGUGCAGGCGGCUCGAUAAGUCUGAUGUGAAAGCCUUCGGCUCAACCGGAGAAUUGCAUCAGAAACUGUCGAGCUUGAGUACAGAAGAGGAGAGUGGAACUCCAUGUGUAGCGGUGAAAUGCGUAGAUAUAUGGAAGAACACCGGUGGCGAAGGCGGCUCUCUGGUCUGUUACUGACGCUGAGGCUCGAAAGCAUGGGUAGCGAACAGGAUUAGAUACCCUGGUAGUCCAUGCCGUANACGAUGAGUGCUAAGUGUUGGGAGGUUUCCGCCUCUCAGUGCUGCAGCUAACGCAUUAAGCACUCCGCCUGGGGAGUACGACCCGCAGGUUGAAACUCAAAGGAAUUGACGGGGGCCCGCACAAGCGGUGG